Molecule: ribosomal RNA, 424 nt
Filed under: uncultured prokaryote
Description: bacterial SSU rRNA
Rfam family: Bacterial small subunit ribosomal RNA
Source: RNAcentral
UGGGGAAUAUUGGACAAUGGGCGCAAGCCUGAUCCAGCCAUGCCGCGUGAGUGACGAAGGCCUUAGGGUUGUAAAGCUCUUUUGGCGGGGACGAUAAUGACGGUACCCGUAGAAUAAGCUCCGGCUAACUUCGUACCAGCAGCCGCGGUAAUACGAAGGGAGCUAGCGUUGUUCGGAAUCACUGGGCGUAAAGCGCACGUAGGCGGAUUGUUUAGUCGGGGGUGAAAUCCCGGGGCUCAACCUCGGAACUGCCUUCGAUUCUGGCAAUCUGGAGUCCGGAAGAGGUGGGUGGAAUUCCUAGUGUAGAGGUGAAAUUCUUAGAUAUUAGGAAGAACACCGGUGGCGAAGGCGGCCCACUGGUCCGGUACUGACGCUGAGGUGCGAAAGCGUGGGGAGCAAACAGGAUUAGAUACCCGUGUAGUCC